GAUGAACGCUGGCGGCGUGCCUAAUACAUGCAAGUCGAGCGAACAGAUGAGGAGCUUGCUCCUCUGACGUUAGCGGCGGACGGGUGAGUAACACGUGGAUAACCUACCUAUAAGACUGGGAUAACUUCGGGAAACCGGAGCUAAUACCGGAUAAUAUAUUGAACCGCAUGGUUCAAUAGUGAAAGACGGUUUUGCUGUCACUUAUAGAUGGAUCCGCGCCGCAUUAGCUAGUUUGUAAGGUAACGGCUUACCAAGGCAACGAUGCGUUGCCGACCUGAGGGUGUGUGCGGCCACACUGGUACUUAGCCACGGUCCAGACCCCUGCGGGAGGCCGCAGUAGGGAACCUUCCGCAAUGGGCGAAAGCCUGACGGAGCAACCCCGCGUCUGUGCUGAAGGUCUUCGGAUCGUAAAACUCUGUUAUUAGUGAAGAACAACUGUGUAAGUAACUAUGCACGUCUUGACGGUACCUAAUCAGAAAGCCACGGCUAACUACGUG
RNAcentral lists this ribosomal RNA (497 nucleotides) under uncultured bacterium. Its description in RNAcentral is "partial 16S ribosomal RNA". It matches the Rfam family "Bacterial small subunit ribosomal RNA", at positions 28 to 507 of the family's 1533-position model. The record is from RNAcentral.